This 216-nucleotide unclassified non-coding RNA is filed under the name Hevea brasiliensis (rubber tree). The record is from RNAcentral. Lineage: Eukaryota; Viridiplantae; Streptophyta; Magnoliopsida; Malpighiales; Euphorbiaceae.
CUCACCAGCGACCAGUUCAGAAAAUCGGCUUUCGGAUUAUUGGCGUAACGGUUGGUGUCGAAGAUGUCGGUGACGGCGAAGCGGCCCGCCGUGAUGACCAGCCGAUCCGUUGAGCGCGUGCCCUUGAAUUGGAAGAAAUCGUCGUCGACGUUCUCGGUGUCGCCGCCGAGAUUGAUGGUCUGGCGCAGAAAGGCGCGAUGCAGGCGCGCAUAGGGC